RNAcentral lists this ribosomal RNA (506 nucleotides) under uncultured Glomeromycotina. RNAcentral's name for it is "partial small subunit ribosomal RNA". It matches the Rfam family "Eukaryotic small subunit ribosomal RNA", at positions 591 to 1092 of the family's 1831-position model. The record is from RNAcentral. Lineage: Eukaryota; Fungi; Glomeromycota.
CCAAUAGCGUAUAUUAAAGUUGUUGCAGUUAAAAAGCUCGUAGUUGAAUUUCGGGAUUGACACAUCGGUCGUGCCCUAAGGGGUAUGAACUGGUGUAGUCAAUUUCUCACCUUCUGGAGAACCGCGCUGUCCUUAAUUGGGUGACGCGGGAAACCAGGACCUUUACUUUGAAAAAAUUAGAGUGUUUAAAGCAGGCAUUUUGCUUGAAUACAUUAGCAUGGAAUAAUAAAAUAGGACGGCAUGAUUCUAUUUUGUUGGUUUCUAGGAUCACCGUAAUGAUUAAUAGGGAUAGUUGGGGGCAUUAGUAUUCAAUUGUCAGAAGUGAAAUUCUUGGAUUUAUUGAAGACUAACUACUGCGAAAGCAUUUGCCAAGGAUGUUUUCAUUAAUCAAGAACGAAAGUUAGGGGAUCGAAGACGAUCAGAUACCGUCGUAGUCUUAACCAUAAACUAUGCCGACUAGGAAUCAGACGAUGUUAAUUUUUUAAUGACUCGUUUGGCACCUUACG